This 408-nucleotide ribosomal RNA is filed under the name Triticum aestivum (bread wheat). RNAcentral describes it as "partial small subunit ribosomal RNA". The record is from RNAcentral. Lineage: Eukaryota; Viridiplantae; Streptophyta; Magnoliopsida; Poales; Poaceae.
AUGCGCUCGCCGCUAUGGUGGCAACACACGUCCGGCCGGCCGGUGGCUGCGCCGAUGACAAGGAGGACGGGCAGCAAGCAGAACACGCUGGCGAAGAAACACAUACACGUACAACGGUCCAGGAGCAGCACCUGGGCAUGGAGGUUUGCAGCAGCUCCUCCUACGUGCCUCGUCUGGGUAGCAGGCAGGAACCCAAGGAGGCACCCUCGAGAGGACUUGAAGAUGGUGGCAUACAUCCAUCCAUCAUGCCUCGCACCAGGAGGCACCGGGAGGGAUCCAGAAGGAACGCCCCAGAAAUUGUGGCAGCGAUGGCAAGCUGAGGAGGAAGAGAUGCCGGCCACGGCGGCGGUCUACCCACGACAGGCGCAUAAGGAGAUGAACAAACGGGAGAAGACCAAGCCUCGGUGA